This is a long non-coding RNA of Passer domesticus (house sparrow), 1099 nucleotides long. RefSeq lists it as uncharacterized. The record is from RefSeq and is a predicted model, not a curated record. Lineage: Eukaryota; Metazoa; Chordata; Aves; Passeriformes; Passeridae. The transcript has 5 exons.
CCCUACACACAUGGAGCUGGCCUCAGGCAGUCCUCAGGAAAAUCUGGCCUUGUCCAACAGUCAGCAAGAAGCACACAUCUGAAACUGAAACUGUGUUCAAAGUACCAUGACUCCCACAUGGUAGAGAGUAUCACUUCAUGCUAGAUGUCUAACUUAGCAACAGGAAUACUGGGAACGGAAUAGUUUAGGUAGAUGUAGAGAAAAGGGAUGGAGUGAGUGGUGUGUAGUGCUUGAUAUCCAGCUGGGCUCAAACCACAACAGUCCAAUAUACAGGUCUGCUUCAAAACUCACUCUGGAAACACAGAAGAACUUAGUCCCUGCAAAAAGUAUGGAUAUAGCAAAACUCAGUGUGCCAAAUAUGAGAAGGUUACUCAGAACACAGAGUUAUACAGCAACAGGACAAAGUUACUUAAACCGUUGACAGUCUGAAGCAGAAAUUCCAAGAUCAUCUUUGGCGGAAACUUAUGAAAAAUGGAAUAUGCUUUGGUUGCUCUCACCUACUACAGCUACUGGAUAAGCCACCCUGUCAAAUGUCAUAAAGUCAAUGAAUCUUAAAAUACCACUCUGCUUAUUAUUAGAACAAUAAGCACCUCGGACUACUUUAAAGAAAAUCUUGUGGUAAGCCACAAAUAUGCUGCAUAGUCCCAUGAAAACAGGAGCCAAGGAACUCACAAAGGAAAGAAAAGAUGGUUUCAUUUUAACAGUUGUAGUGCAACCGCUGCAGAAAUAGCUCAUGCUUUCCACGUCUGUAUGUAUAUACACUUUACAAACCUCUAUAUACAAUGCAUAUUUCAAUUCUUCAUCAAACACAGACAUUAAUUGAUGAAUAUGCAUGGAACAGGAGGAAGAGAAGUAAUGCAAUAGGCCUUCUUUAAGAAAACAGAAUCUUGUAUACAUUUUGUUUUCAUCGAUGUCAUAGGCCGCCAUCUGUACAACAUCUGGGUGCCAUGUAAGUAUUCUUUCCUUCAUUAGGAGACCAAGUCUUAAAAGUACAUUUAGUAGUUUAUUUUUAAUUUAAAAAUUGCAUGACUGCUUUUCCCAAGACAUUGAGAAUAGCAUCUUUGUCCUUGAAGCAUAUAUUUUUUAUUCAUUGUUAGGU